GGCAGCCGUGCAGAGAAGGAGUGCUGGAGUUGGGGCUGGAACAGUCCGGAGCCAGGUGUCAUGAGCAGCUGGAGAGAGUGAGGGGGGACCCUGGGCAGUGGGCCCAGCACGGGGAGACUCCUCAGCCAGGAGGCUCUGCAGGCCAGACUCGGAGGGGGAUUGGUAACCCUGACAGGGUGG
Molecule: long non-coding RNA, 180 nt
Organism: Chelonia mydas (Green sea turtle)
Lineage: Eukaryota; Metazoa; Chordata; Testudines; Cheloniidae
Exons: 3
Source: RefSeq, a predicted model, not a curated record